Molecule: ribosomal RNA, 273 nt
Filed under: uncultured Staphylococcus sp.
Lineage: Bacteria; Bacillati; Bacillota; Bacilli; Caryophanales; Staphylococcaceae
Description: partial 16S ribosomal RNA
Rfam family: Bacterial small subunit ribosomal RNA
Source: RNAcentral
ACGUUAGCGGCGGACGGGUGAGUAACACGUGGGUAACCUACCUAUAAGACUGGGAUAACUUCGGGAAACCGGAGCUAAUACCGGAUAAUAUUUCGAACCGCAUGGUUCGAUAGUGAAAGGUGGUUUUGCUAUCACUUAUAGAUGGACCCGCGCCGUAUUAGCUAGUUGGUAAGGUAACGGCUUACCAAGGCGACGAUACGUAGCCGACCUGAGAGGGUGAUCGGCCACACUGGAACUGAGACACGGUCCAGACUCCUACGGGAGGCAGCAGCU